Molecule: ribosomal RNA, 314 nt
Filed under: uncultured bacterium
Lineage: Bacteria
Description: bacterial SSU rRNA
Rfam family: Bacterial small subunit ribosomal RNA
Source: RNAcentral
GACGAACGCUGGCGGCGUGCCUAAUACAUGCAAGUCGAGCGGACCAAAGGGAGCUUGCUCCUGGAGGUUAGCGGCGAACGGGUGAGUACACGUGGGCAACCUGCCUGUAAGACUGGGAUAACAUCGAGAAAUCGGUGCUAAUACCGGAUAAUAAAAAGAACUGCAUGGUUCUUUUUGAAAGAUGGUUUCGGCUAUCACUUACAGAUGGGCCCGCGGCGCAUUAGCUAGUUGGUGAGGUAACGGCUCACCAAGGCGACGAUGCGUAGCCGACCUGAGAGGUGAUCGGCACACUGGGACUGAGACACGGCCCAGAC